GAUGAACGCUGGCGGCGUGCCUAAUACAUGCAAGUCGAGCGAACGGAUAAGGAGCUUGCUCCUUUGACGUUAGCGGCGGACGGGUGAGUAACACGUGGGUAACCUACCUAUAAGACUGGAAUAACUCCGGGAAACCGGGGCUAAUGCAGGAUAACAUGUUGAACCGCAUGGUUCUACAGUGAAAGGCGGCUUUGCUGUCACUUAUAGAUGGACCCGCGCCGUAUUAGCUAGUUGGUGAGGUAACGGCUCACCAAGGCAACGAUACGUAGCCGACCUGAGAGGGUGAUCGGCCACACUGGAACUGAGACACGGUCCAGACUCCUACGGGAGGCAGCAGUAGGGAAUCUUCCGCAAUGGGCGAAAGCCUGACGGAGCAACGCCGCGUGAGUGAUGAAGGUCUUCGGAUCGUAAAACUCUGUUAUUAGGGAAGAACAAAUGCGUAAGUAACUGUGCGCGUCUUGACGGUACCUAAUCAGAAAGCCACGGCUAACUACGUG
Molecule: ribosomal RNA, 497 nt
Filed under: uncultured bacterium
Lineage: Bacteria
Description: partial 16S ribosomal RNA
Rfam family: Bacterial small subunit ribosomal RNA
Source: RNAcentral